GAAUUCGCCCUUGGGGAAUUUUCCGCAAUGGGCGAAAGCCUGACGGAGCAACGCCGCGUGAGGGAGGAAGGUCUUUGGAUUGUAAACCUCUUUUCUCAAGGAAGAAGUUCUGACGGUACUUGAGGAAUCAGCCUCGGCUAACUCCGUGCCAGCAGCCUCGGUAAUACGGGGGAGGCAGGCGUUAUCCGGAAUUAUUGGGCGUAAAGCGUCCGCAGGUGGUCAGCCAAGUCUGCCGUCAAAUCAGGUUGCUUAACGACCUAAAGGCGGUGGAAACUGGCAGACUAGAGAGCAGUAGGGGUAGCAGGAAUUCCCAGUGUAGCGGUGAAAUGCGUAGAGAUUGGGAAGAACAUCGGUGGCGAAAGCGUGCUACUGGGCUGUAUCUGACACUCAGGGACGAAAGCUAGGGGAGCGAAAGGGAUUAGAUACCCCUGUAGUCCUAGCCGUAAACGAUGGAUACUGGGCGUGGCUUGUAUCGACCCGAGCCGUGCCGAAGCUAACGCGUUAAGUAUCCCGCCUGGGGAGUACGCACGCAAGUGUGAAACUCAAAGGAAUUGACGGGGGCCCGCACAAGCGGUGGAGUAUGUGGUUUAAUUCGAUGCAACGCGAAGAACCUUACCAAGACUUGACAUGUCGCGAAGCCUGGUGAAAGCUGGGGGUGCCUUCGGGAGCGCGAA
Molecule: ribosomal RNA, 674 nt
Filed under: uncultured cyanobacterium
Lineage: Bacteria; Bacillati; Cyanobacteriota
Description: bacterial SSU rRNA
Rfam family: Bacterial small subunit ribosomal RNA
Source: RNAcentral